UGGGGAAUAUUGCACAAUGGAGGGAACUCUGAUGCAGCGACGCCGCGUGAACGAAGAAGUCUUUCGAGUCGUAAAGUUCUUUUAUAUGGGAAGAUAAUGACGGUACCAUAAGAAAAAGCCCCGGCUAACUACGUGCCAGCAGCCGCGGUAAUACGUAGGGGGCUAGCGUUGUCCGGAAUCACUGGGCGUAAAGGGUUCGCAGGCGGAAAUGCAAGUCAGGUGUAAAAGGCAGUAGCUUAACUACUGUAAGCAUUUGAAACUGCAUAUCUUGAGAAGAGUAGAGGUAAGUGGAAUUUUUAGUGUAGCGGUGAAAUGCGUAGAUAUUAAAAAGAAUACCGGUGGCGAAGGCGACUUACUGGGCUCAUUCUGACGCUGAGGAACGAAAGCGUGGGUAGCAAACAGG
Molecule: ribosomal RNA, 403 nt
Filed under: bacterium
Lineage: Bacteria
Description: partial 16S ribosomal RNA
Rfam family: Bacterial small subunit ribosomal RNA
Source: RNAcentral